Molecule: ribosomal RNA, 497 nt
Filed under: uncultured bacterium
Lineage: Bacteria
Description: partial 16S ribosomal RNA
Rfam family: Bacterial small subunit ribosomal RNA
Source: RNAcentral
GAUGAACGCUGGCGGCGUGCCUAAUACAUGCAAGUCGAGCGAACAGACGAGGAGCUUGCUCCUCUGACGUUAGCGGCGGACGGGUGAGUAACACGUGGAUAACCUACCUAUAAGACUGGGAUAACUUCGGGAAACCGGAGCUAAUACCGGAUAACAUGUUGAACCGCAUGGUUCAACAGUGAAAGACGGUCUUGCUGUCACUUAUAGAUGGAUCCGCGCCGCAUUAGCUAGUUGGUAAGGUAACGGCUUACCAAGGCAACGAUGCGUAGCCGACCUGAGAGGGUGAUCGCCCACACUGGAACGGAGACACGGUCCAGACUCCUACGGGAGGCAGCAGUAGGGAAUCUUCCGCAAUGGGCGAAAGCCUGACGGAGCAACGCCGCGUGAGUGAAGAAGGUCUUCGGAUCGUAAAACUCUGUUAUUAGGGAAGAACAAAUGUGUAAGUAACUAUGCACGUCUUGACGGUACCUAAUCAGAAAGCCACGGCUAACUACGUG